UGGCAACGCACCAAUGAUGCUGCAAACCUACGAUGACUAAUCCUAAAAGCCUAAUUUGUAGAACUCAUUCAAAUGCUUAAAGAUUCGCAGGUCACCACGGGGGUCGAUUUCCAUUUGCCAGCGAGGGAUGGGAGACAAAGUCAGUAAUUGCUGGAACCGCGCUCGGCCGCACCGGCGGGGCAGCGUGAGAGCCACUGGCUCUUUCUUCCACAUCCUUCAUGUUUCACCUUUCCACUCCUGGCAUUUAACUCACGGAGGCACAAGGAAACGGAGUGGCCUCUGCUAACACGCAGCAAAACCCGCUUUGCAUGGCUCCAUCUCCCUGUUUACACCAAUAAAGCAGUAAGCUACAUGCUGCAGGCAGUAUCUGACCCCACAGAAAGCGAAUCGCGCUGGCCGGAGGCACAGAGCCCUAAACCUUUAUCCCAUAGUGCUAAAUAAUCAUCACACACCUAAUUGAUUGUGGUUUUGAGUAAGCAUUCACAUCACUCUCGUUAGCAGCUGCCAGAAACAAGCACCUGCACACAGCCAGGUUACGCCGUUCCAUCGCAUGGCAAUGGGAUUUCCACAUCUGCAUCCACUGCAUUAACCCUCCUACCCUUCCCACAUGGGGAUCUUCCUGCAGAAAGACUUCUUCCACCUGGGACACAAGAACUGGCUGAAGUGAUAGCUCAGAAGACAAAAAUAAAGGGGGAGAGCACCACAAGGAAGAUGCUGAGAAGCUGAAGGAGGCUUUCUUUAUCUUCCAAUGAGAUCAGCACUGCGUGGUGCUCCUUUAAAAUCCUGGCAUAGAGAUGCUGAGGGUUUUUUUUUACAUCUUUUCUUCUGAACAGCCGUACUGGCAAAGCAACAGCGACUUCUGCUUCCCAACCAGGUGCUACGUGAAGAGAAAGGAGAAACUUUCCCAAAGUGAGGAAUAUUUCUUUGCCUUUAUUUCCUGUCUCUGGACCUACACGGAGCCGAGGUGGGCGUUCAGCUUCUGAGUGCAAAAAUACAAACAGGAUCAGUGGCACAACACGAGCUCCCACAUCACGCUGCCCUGCAGGCUCAGGGAGGGCUCACUUUGUUUUUGCCAUCCCAGCACAGAGCCUCUCUAACAAACACAGCGCUCGGUAAUGCUGCCUUUUGCAGGCUGGUCUUCUUCGAAACAAAUGAGGCGAUUCCAGAAAGAGCAAAGACAUCAUCUGACAGUCCCUUGCUAGCAAGCUGCUCCCCUCUGCUGUCUCACUAUCCCACCUCCCCAGACCCAGCAACACCGCUGAUACGAGCUUUAUAAAUAACCCAAAGCAGCGCUGCCUCGCUGGGAAAGCACUGUGCUGAGCACAUUGCUGGGUGUCACACAGGAACAAAAGCCCCGAGAGAGAUGAGAGGGGAGAAAAAUACAAAUGCAGCUGCUUGCAGAACGCUCACUCUCUCCGGAGAGAAUUCUUUUUGGCUGCCGUGGCACACAGCAGACCCCAGUGCUGAGUGCAGAUCUGAAGGCAGCAAUCACAGCCCCGUGCAAAAGGAAAGCCUGGCAGGGCUGCUCGUGUAAACAGGAGCAAAAAACCAACAGGAGAACAGGACAAAGAGGGGGCAGAAGGGAGGAAAAUGAGUUAGCUGGCAUGCCAGCACUAGGUUUGGGCUAAAAUAUUACAGUUUGGAGAAGACGGAAUAGCUGACGAAAACUUACCCAACGCAUCAAGAUACAUUAUUACAUAGGGAAUGCUGCCUUGCUCUGGUUGGCAGGCUUUUGACACCUAGGUUAUAAGGAUCCUGAAAAAUCAAGUUGAGAAGAAGGUAAUUUGCUGGAAGGGCUGUCUCUGGAAGACGCUGGGGCUCUGCAGAUAUGAAUGCACGGGAGUUGUGCUCUGCGGUGCUUUCCAAGUAGUCCACGCUAAAUACAAAGAACACAGCCAUUUGUCAUUUGGGACUGAAAAUAUUAGAGAAACAAGCG
RNAcentral lists this long non-coding RNA (1936 nucleotides) under Gallus gallus (chicken). RNAcentral's name for it is "long non-coding RNA NONGGAT003408". The record is from RNAcentral. Lineage: Eukaryota; Metazoa; Chordata; Aves; Galliformes; Phasianidae.